AAAUGGCAACCCAUUGCAGUAUGCAUACCUGGAAAAUUCAAUGGAUGGAGGAGCCUCGUAGGCCACAGUUCAUGGGGUUGCAGAGUUGGACACGGCUGAGCAACUUCACUUUCACUUUCAUUGUACCUUGUAUUUCUACCCCUAAGGAAGAAGCAGAAAGAUUGAGCUUCUCCAUGGAACAAACUAAAGCUAGUCUUCAGACAAGACUACAUUCUUGCUUGAUUAUUUUCUCCACCUUAUCUAGCUUCACUCACCAUCCCCCUCCCCUUUAUCCUAAGAAUGCUUCUUCAAAUAAAUAUUUUUAACAAGGA
Bubalus bubalis (water buffalo) is the source of this 311-nucleotide long non-coding RNA. RefSeq lists it as uncharacterized. NCBI's taxonomy places the organism in Eukaryota, Metazoa, Chordata, Mammalia, Artiodactyla, Bovidae. The record is from RefSeq and is a predicted model, not a curated record. The transcript is spliced from 2 exons.